AACCAAAGGGGGCGAGCGUAAGCAGCUCUCACCGAAGGAGGAGCCUGCGUCCGAUUAGCUAGUUGGUGGGGUAAUGGCUUACCAAGGCGACGAUCGGUAGCCGGCCUGAGAGGGCGAUCGGCCACACUGGAACUGAGACACGGUCCAGACUCCUACGGGAGGCAGCAGUGGGGAAUAUUGCGCAAUGGGCGAAAGCCUGACGCAGCGACGCCGCGUGGGUGAUGAAGGCCUUCGGGUCGUAAAGCCCUGUCUGGUGGAACGAAACGCCUGGCGGCCAAUACCUGCUGGGUUUGACGGUACCACCGAAGGAAGCCCCGGCUAACUACGGGCCAGCAGCCGCGGUAAGACGUAGGGGGCGAGCGUUGUUCGGAUUUACUGGGCGUAAAGCGCGCGUAGGCGGCCAGAUAAGUCGGGUGUGAAAGCCCUCGGCUCAACCAAGGUUCCGCAUCCGAUACUGCUUGGCUGGAGUCUAGGAGAGGAGAGCGGAAUUCCCAGUGUAGCGGUGAAAUGCGUAGAUAUUGGGAGGAACACCCGUGGCGAAGGCGGCUCUCUGGACUAGUACUGACGCUGAGGCGCGAAAGCUAGGGGAGCGAACGGGAUUAGAUACCCCGGUAGUCCUAGCCGUAAACGAUGGGCACUAGGUGUGGGAGGUAUUGACCCCUUCCGCGCCGAAGCUAACGCAUUAAGUGCCCCGCCUGGGGAGUACGGCCGCAAGGCUAAAACUCAAAGGAAUUGACGGGGGCCCGCACAAGCGGUGGAGCAUGUGGUUCAAUUCGACGCAACGCGAAGAACCUUACCAGGGCUUGACAUCCCACGAACCUGCCUGAAAGGGCGGGGUGCCCGCAAGGGAGCGCGGAGA
RNAcentral lists this ribosomal RNA (859 nucleotides) under uncultured Methylomirabilota bacterium. Its description in RNAcentral is "bacterial SSU rRNA". It matches the Rfam family "Bacterial small subunit ribosomal RNA", at positions 199 to 1034 of the family's 1533-position model. Lineage: Bacteria; Methylomirabilota (SeqCode). The record is from RNAcentral.